GACGAACGCUGGCGGCGUGCUUAACACAUGCAAGUCGAACGGAAAGGCCCCUUUGGGGGUACUCGAGUGGCGAACGGGCGAGUAACACGUGAGUAACCUGCCCUUGACUUCGGGAUAACUUCAGGAAACUGGGGCUAAUACCGGAUAGGAAUCCUUGCUGCAUGGUGGGGGUUGGAAAGCUUCGGCGGUUUUGGAUGGACUCGCGGCUUAUCAGCUUGUUGGUGGGGUAGUGGCUUACCAAGGCUUUGCCGGGUAGCCGGCCUGAGAGGGCGACCGGCCACAUUGGGACUGAGAUACGGCCCAGACUCCUACGGGAGGCAGCAGUGGGGAAGAUUGCACAAGGGGCGGAAGCCUGAUGCAGCAACGCCGCGUGCGGGAUGACGGCCUUCGGGUUGUAAACCGCUUUCAGCAGGGGCGAAGCUUGUGGUGACGGUACCUGCAGAAGAAGCACCGGCUAACUACGUG
RNAcentral lists this ribosomal RNA (465 nucleotides) under uncultured bacterium. RNAcentral describes it as "partial 16S ribosomal RNA". It matches the Rfam family "Bacterial small subunit ribosomal RNA", at positions 28 to 507 of the family's 1533-position model. The record is from RNAcentral.